CCCUUAGAUGUCCUGGGCCGCACGCGUGCUACACUGAUACGUACAAAGAGUACUUCUGCUCCGAAAGGCAGCGGAUAAUCUGCAAUACGUAUCGUGAUGGGGAUAGAUCCUUGUAAUUAUGGAUCUUGAACGAGGAAUUCCUAGUAAGUGCAAGUCAUUAGCUUGCGCUGAUUAAGUCCCUGCCCUUUGUACACACCGCCCGUCGCUUCUACCGAUUGAGUGGUCUGGUGAGCCUUUUGGAUCGCCAGCAAUGGCGAGAAAUCAAGCAAACCUUAUCACUUAGAGGAAGAACAAGUCGUAACA
RNAcentral lists this ribosomal RNA (303 nucleotides) under uncultured eukaryote. RNAcentral describes it as "partial 18S ribosomal RNA". It matches the Rfam family "Eukaryotic small subunit ribosomal RNA", at positions 1470 to 1796 of the family's 1831-position model. The record is from RNAcentral.